RNAcentral lists this long non-coding RNA (2682 nucleotides) under Homo sapiens (human). RNAcentral describes it as "HSALNT0407381". The record is from RNAcentral. Lineage: Eukaryota; Metazoa; Chordata; Mammalia; Primates; Hominidae.
UGUCUCUGUCUCUUUUUCUGAUUUUGUCCCUCAGUCGAAUUAUUUCUUCUGAGGAGGCAAGGACUGAAGUUGCUACAGACCCCUAAGGACAGGCCAUCGGUAACACUGGGUAAAUCAGAUCUCUUCCACGGGUCUAUCAAUGAGAAGAAAGUGCCAACUGAAAACUUUUAGAAAAUACCCAGUUUACUCAAGGAAAAUAACAUGCAUUGAAGGUGAUUGCUCAAUAGAGAGAAGUUGAAACAGCAGACUAAUUGCCUGUUUGUGACACCCAUGUAAUCAACUUGAGGAAAAGGCGGUGUGAAGACAGAACAGAGAUAUUUAAAGAUGCUGGCCUUAAAGAUUGGAUUGAUUCAGCCCCAAGCCAAAGAAUCCUGGAAACCACCAGAAGUUGAAAGAGCCAAGGACAAAAUUCUCCCCUACAGCUUCAGGAAGGGGAAUGGUCCUUCUUUGAUUCUGGCCUGUGAUCCUGAUUCAGCCUUCUGCCUUCCAGAACUGUGAAAGACUAAAUCUGUUGUUUUAAAUCACCACAUUUUUGGUGAUUUGUUACAGCAGCCAGAGGGUAAUAAUAACAUCUAGGUUUCUUUUUCCUGUUGGUGUUUUCUGAAAUUCUUGGAACUGUGAUUUGGUGUCUGUCACUAAUUUUGGAAAAUGCUCAGCCAUUAUUUAAUUAUUUCUUCAAAUAUUUUCUUCUGCUCUGUUCUCUCUUCCCUUCUGGAAUUUCAUUACAAAUGUGUUAGACCAUUUGAUAUUGUCUCAUAGCUCUUGGAUCUUCUGUUUUUGUCCUCUCUUUUAUCUCUUUGUGUUUCAGUUGAGGUAAUUUCUGUUGACAUGUUAUGAAGAUCACUGAUUAUAUCUUUGUGUGUUGAGUCUACUGAUGACCCCUUUGAAGGCAUUCUUCACCCUUGUCACUGUGUUUUUCAUUUGUAGCAUUUCUAUUUUGUUUUUUCUUAUAGUCACUAUCUUCCUGCUAUAAUUAACUACCUAUUCUUUCAUGUUAUCUAUCUUUUCAUUUAGAGCCUUUAAUAUAUUACUCAUCGUAAAUUGCCUACUAGUUUCAGCAUCGGUGUCAUAAUUGAGACUGCUUCUGAUGGUUGCUUUGACUCCUCAGACUGUUUUUUCUUUCCUUGUUGUAUUCCUCUAAAUUUUUUGUUGAAACAUAGACACACAAGACAAUAGGCACUAAGAUUUUUUUUUUUUUAUGACUGGAGAUGAGCAUGCCUUUCCUUCUGCUAUGCCUUUAAUGUGAGAGUUUGUAAUAAUAUAAUAAGAAAAUGGGCUGAGUUUGAGGUUUGCUUUCCACUUGGCUUUGGGUCUUCUCUUUGUCAUGCUCCCCAAAGAGAAUUUUUCUUCUGCAGCCUCCCCAGUUCAUUCCACUGCUAGUUUUACUUGACACCUGCUAGUGUGGCAGUGGAGGUAUGGGGGAUGGAAACGUUAUCUAAUGUUCUGACUAAGCCUCAGUCUUAGGCAAAUUCUAUGAAACUAGGUCAAAGCUUGUGUUUCUUUUCACAAGUAUUCCUUUCCCCCCUCCAGACAUAAUGCUAGGCCAAGCAUGCGUUCCCUUUUCACCCCAGGAGCAGAAGUAUUUUUGUUUUUUUCCUGGCUUCCUCAGGGUUCUCCCCAUCUCCCCUGUGUCCAUCUACGAGGUUUCUGUAGGAAAAUCUUAAAAGAAGGUGUGAACUUUUCUGUGUCUGCUUUCCCCAAGGGCUUUAUACUCUUACACUAGCUGACACCAGGCAUUUAACAAUUUGACUUUUUAAAAUUCUAGUUAAAUUCUCUUUCUGGCUUAAUUGGCUUUUGGCAGCCUCUGUGCCAGGUAAACAAAGGCUAGUAUCCCAUUUCUCCCUGCAGACACCAGUUUCUCUCUAGGGUUCAGGUUGGUUGUUUGCCCUGUGACUUCGGUUUUCUCAUGUGUUCAAAAGAAGUCAUUAAUUUUAUUCCUUUUUUUGUUCUUGUUGUUUAAAGGGCAGGAGCAAUGUCUUUUCCAACUUUCUACAUCUCCAAGCUGAAACUAGUGGUUGAAAUUUUUCAUAUCUUGAUUCAGGGACCUAGACUUCUUUCUCUUGUAGCUUUCCUAUCCACUAGGGCUUGCAUAUGAUUAUUUAUACUCAUAGUUGACUUUUACUUAGAAUAAACUAGUAGAUGUUAAAUUGCUGGGUGUUGCUGUGUGCAUUCUCCAGGAAGCAGACUCUAAGACAGAGAUUAGUAUUCAGCAAGUUUUUUUUAAGGACAUACUCUUAGGAUUAAAACCGCUGGAAAGGAAGGGAAGAAGGCAGGAUUGGACAAGACAGAAGUUCAGCUGAGAUAGAAUCUCAACAAAGGGUCGGUUGAUCCCAUGGAAAGCUCUGGAGCAGAGAGAGCUCUGAAGAGUUGUCCUGUAUGCAGUGAGGAAGCUGAACUUUUAUGUCUUCUCAUCAGUCAGUCAUUGAAUGAGGGUAUAUCCAAAGGAAUACCUUGUCAAGGCAAGAGUCUCCAGCUGAGGACAAUUUCUUAAGAGGACUGAGAGCUGAGGACUAUUAUCUGGUAGCACUGGAGGAAUAAGUCUUGAAGGGGAUCUGGGCAAUGCAUCACAGCUUCCACUACAUUGAGUCAAAGAAUAUGAAUAUUUUAAGGCUCUUGAUAGGUAUUGUGAAAUUAUUCUUCACAAAAGUUGCUCUAGAAAAGGUGUACUUAAGUACUCUUGUA